CUAUGAAUCGGUCUUUUAUUUAGCCGCUUUUAAACAGAACACAUCCUGAGCGACUUUAUUAAUUAUUUAAUUAAAUCAGAAAGAUUGCUUAAAUAUAAUAGCUUAAAAAUUUACAUCAUUCAAUGUCAAUAUGGAGAGAAACAGCGCUGAUCAGCACACAGGAUGGCAUUUGUGGCUUCGGCUUCGACUGAAAUCUGAAGCACUUGAACCACGUGGUUGAAAUUGCACAUUUGAAAUGCAGAAAAAAUGUAUUAAAAAAUUGCAAUAAAUGUUCGCUACAUGAUUGUUUCAUGGUGACUUUAAAACACAGGAAUUGGAAUUAUACAUACAUCAUCUAUAGAAAGAUAUUUCAUUUGCGAGAAUCUCUCAAAAGCGAACGUUGAUAUUUGGUGUGCUCAAUAAUAUGUUUUGGCUCAUCUUAAAAAAAAAAAGAAUUUGGAUUCUUAAAAUAAAUUUGUGAUGGAACCAUUUGUCAACAGAAAACUGGAGUUACACUUGCUAGAAAAGUUUUACUUAUUUGCGUCUACUAUAAAUGGAUUUGGAAUUAUAUGCAGUUCAUAAAGAAGCGCUUACAUGGAUGUGACGAAUAGUACAUACAGUAAUAAAAUACAUAUUUUAUAACUAAAAUAAACUUAUGAACAACUUACA
Molecule: long non-coding RNA, 648 nt
Organism: Drosophila nasuta
Lineage: Eukaryota; Metazoa; Arthropoda; Insecta; Diptera; Drosophilidae
Exons: 7
Source: RefSeq, a predicted model, not a curated record